UGAUACGCGAGGAACCUUACCCGGGCUUAAAUUGCAGAUGAAUUACGGUGAAAGCCGUAAGCCGCAAGGCAUCUGUGAAGGUGCUGCAUGGUUGUCGUCAGCUCGUGCCGUGAGGUGUCGGCUUAAGUGCCAUAACAAGCGCAACCCUUGUUGUCAGUUACUAACAGGUUCCGCUGAGGACUCUGACAAGACUGCCAUCGUAAGAUGUGAGGAAGGUGGGGAUGACGUCAAAUCAGCACGGCCCUUACGUCCGGGGCUACACACGUGUUACAAUGGGGGGUACAGAGGGCCGCUACCACGCGAGUGGAUGCCAAUCCCCAAAACCUCUCUCAGUUCGGACUGGAGUCUGCAACCCGACUCCACGAAGCUGGAUUCGCUAGUAAUCGCGCAUCAGCCACGGCGCGGUGAAUAUGUUCCCGGGCCUUGUACACACCGCCCGUCAAGCCAUGGGAGCCGGGGGUACCUGAAGUGCGUAACCGCGAGGAGCGCCCUAGGGUAAAACUGGUGACUGGGGCUAAGUCGUAACAAGGUAGCCGUACCGGAAGGUGCGGCUGGAUCACCUC
This 563-nucleotide ribosomal RNA is filed under the name uncultured bacterium. RNAcentral describes it as "bacterial SSU rRNA". It matches the Rfam family "Bacterial small subunit ribosomal RNA", at positions 955 to 1529 of the family's 1533-position model. The record is from RNAcentral.